Molecule: unclassified non-coding RNA, 489 nt
Filed under: uncultured Glomus
Lineage: Eukaryota; Fungi; Glomeromycota; Glomeromycetes; Glomerales; Glomeraceae
Description: SSU rRNA
Rfam family: Eukaryotic small subunit ribosomal RNA
Source: RNAcentral
AGCAGCCGCGGUAAUUCCAGCUCCAAUAGCGUAUAUUAAAGUUGUUGCAGUUAAAAAGCUCGUAGUUGAAUUUCGGGAUCAAUAUGUUGGUCGUGCCUCGGUACGUACUAGCUUAUUGGUUUCUCCUUUCUGAAGAACCAUGAUGUCAUUUAUUUGGUGUCGUGGGGAAUCAGGACUGUUACUUUGAAAAAAUUAGAGUGUUUAAAGCAGGCUCACGCUUGAAUACAUUAGCAUGGAAUAAUGAAAUAGGACGUUUGAUUCUAUUUUGUUGGUUUCUAGGAUCGACGUAAUGAUUAAUAGGGAUAGUUGGGGGCAUUAGUAUUCAAUUGUCAGAGGUGAAAUUCUUGGAUUUAUUGAAGACUAACUACUGCGAAAGCAUUUGCCAAGGAUGUUUUCAUUAAUCAAGAACGAAAGUUAGGGGAUCGAAGACGAUCAGAUACCGUCGUAGUCUUAACCAUAAACUAUGCCGACUAGGGAUCGGAUGAUGUU